Molecule: transfer RNA, 119 nt
Filed under: Microcaldota archaeon
Lineage: Archaea; Nanobdellati; Microcaldota
Description: tRNA-OTHER
Rfam family: tRNA
About the family: Transfer RNA (tRNA) molecules are approximately 80 nucleotides in length. Their secondary structure includes four short double-helical elements and three loops (D, anti-codon, and T loops).
Source: RNAcentral
GGGCCCGUAGCUCAGCUUGGAUAGAGCGNNCGGAAAAAGCGUUCACGGAAAAAACCAUACUUCCUCCGUAAUUGUUCGGAGAAAGGUGAAGGCCGUGAGUUCAAAUCUCACCGGGCCCG